RNAcentral lists this unclassified non-coding RNA (471 nucleotides) under Triplachne nitens. RNAcentral describes it as "contains 3' external transcribed spacer, ETS". Lineage: Eukaryota; Viridiplantae; Streptophyta; Magnoliopsida; Poales; Poaceae. The record is from RNAcentral.
GCCGACUACCGGCGCCGUGUCCCCUCAUUCGUGUGGCUUAUGUUACUGUUGCCUUUAAGUGCUUGCGUGCUGGUACCCGACCAACGGGAAGUGGUUCGUCAUACACGGUUGCCUCGCGGUGGACGCCUCCGGGUGUGCUGCUGCGGCCAAAUGGCGCUUGCGGCGUUGCCUCGUGGCGCUGUCACGUUUUCGUGCCUAGUGCUAUCAGGCCAGCCUCGCUCCCGCUUUUGGUUUCGGAUGUCGCUAACGAUAAAAGCUCAUGGCMCUUUUGGUUGCCUUGAACUGACCCUAAAUAUGCCUCCCUCGUUGAGAACAACAGCGUUCCUCAACUCGUAGGUGGAUAUUGGCCCGCUCAAUUGCGACAACUGGCCCGGCGGUUGCCUCUGCCUUUCCACGCAAGUGGACGGGCGAGCAACUGGUGGCGCUGGACGUCAAAGAGGACGUGCUACCUGGUUGAUCCUGCCAGUAGUC